This is a microRNA precursor of Equus caballus (horse), 127 nucleotides long. NCBI's taxonomy places the organism in Eukaryota, Metazoa, Chordata, Mammalia, Perissodactyla, Equidae. The record is from Ensembl.
GAGACUUCAUGUUGGUUCCUCACCAGAAUGCAUGACUCUUCAAUCUCGGGACUCGCAGAAUUAAUGGAAUGCCGUCCUAAGGUUGUUGAGUUCUGCGUUUCUGGGCAUUUCAUCUCUGUGGGGAAGU